Cimex lectularius (bed bug) is the source of this 159-nucleotide long non-coding RNA. RefSeq lists it as uncharacterized. The record is from RefSeq and is a predicted model, not a curated record. The transcript is spliced from 2 exons. NCBI's taxonomy places the organism in Eukaryota, Metazoa, Arthropoda, Insecta, Hemiptera, Cimicidae.
UUCGUGUAAACCGUUUCAAUUUCUUCAGAAAUUCAUUUCAAAUCUGUGAAGUGUAGAACUAUGUUUUUACCGCGAUAUAAAUGUGGAGUUUCAAAAGAACUUUUCACGCCAUCAUCGGGGACAGGUCUAUAUGAGGCGAAAUCGAACAUAAAUAAUCAG